This 420-nucleotide ribosomal RNA is filed under the name uncultured bacterium. RNAcentral describes it as "bacterial SSU rRNA". It matches the Rfam family "Bacterial small subunit ribosomal RNA", at positions 9 to 424 of the family's 1533-position model. The record is from RNAcentral.
GAGUUUGAUCCUGGCUCAGGACGAACGCUGGCGGCGUGCUUAACACAUGCAAGUCGAGCGGAAAGGCUUCCUUCGGGAAGUACUCGAGCGGCGAACGGGUGAGUAACACGUGGAUAAUCAACCUCUUGCUCUGGAAUACCCCGGGGAAACUCGGAUCAAUGCCAGAUAAAGUGCGGUGCUGUUGGGUGCCGUACCAAAGAUAGCUUCGGCCUUCGGCGAGAGACGAGUCCGCGGCCCAUUAGCUAGUUGGCGGGGUAAUGGCCCACCAAGGCUACGAUGGGUAGCUGGUCUGAGAGGAUGAUCAGCCACACUGGGACUGAGACACGGCCCAGACUCCUACGGGAGGCAGCAGUGGGGAAUCUUGCGCAAUGGGCGAAAGCCUUACGCAGCAACGCCGCGUGCGGGAGGAAGGCCUCGGUU